This 601-nucleotide ribosomal RNA is filed under the name Argulus japonicus. RNAcentral's name for it is "SSU rRNA". It matches the Rfam family "Eukaryotic small subunit ribosomal RNA", at positions 560 to 1157 of the family's 1831-position model. The record is from RNAcentral. Lineage: Eukaryota; Metazoa; Arthropoda; Ichthyostraca; Arguloida; Argulidae.
ACGUUAUCAGCAGCCGCGGUAAUUCCAGCUCCAAUAGCGUAUAUUAAAGUUGCUGCGGUUAAAAAGCUCGUAGUUGGAUCCCAGUUGCAGACGGGCGGUCCGCCUCAUGGCGGUUCACUGCCCCGUUCUCGACAUACCUCCGGUUAUAUUUGUCCCGCGAUGCUCUUUACCGGGUGUCGCGGGGGGCCGGUACGUUUACUUUGAAAAAAUUAGAGUGCUCAAAGCAGGCGAUGGCCAGAAUAAUGGUGCAUGGAAUAAUGGAAUAGGACCUCGGUUCUAUCUUGUUGGUUCUUCGGAACACGAGGUAAUGAUUAAUAGGGACGGACGGGGGCAUUCGUAUUGCGACGUUAGAGGUGAAAUUCUUGGAUCGUCGCAAGACGAACUACUGCGAAAGCAUUUGCCAAGAAUGUUUUCGUUAAUCAAGAACGAAAGUUAGAGGUUCGAAGGCGAUCAGAUACCGCCCUAGUUCUAACCAUAAACGAUGCCAACCAGCGAUCCGUCGGCGUUACUUCGAAUGACCCGACGAGCAGCUUCCGGGAAACCAAAGUUUCUGGGUUCCGGGGGAAGUAUGGUUGCAAAGCCGAAACUUAAAGGAAUUGAC